CUCCCUAUAGUAUAACUUAUUACCUCAACUUUUCGCGUUGCCAAUGGAGCCCCCUACCACAC
RNAcentral lists this transfer RNA (62 nucleotides) under Questa ersei. RNAcentral describes it as "tRNA-Glu". Lineage: Eukaryota; Metazoa; Annelida; Polychaeta; Questidae. The record is from RNAcentral.